RNAcentral lists this ribosomal RNA (599 nucleotides) under Paenibacillus xylanexedens. RNAcentral describes it as "bacterial SSU rRNA". It matches the Rfam family "Bacterial small subunit ribosomal RNA", at positions 81 to 667 of the family's 1533-position model. Lineage: Bacteria; Bacillati; Bacillota; Bacilli; Caryophanales; Paenibacillaceae. The record is from RNAcentral.
UUCCCUGAUACUUAGCGGCGGACGGGUGAGUAACACGUAGGCAACCUGCCCUCAAGUUUGGGACAACUACCGGAAACGGUAGCUAAUACCGAAUAGUUGUUUUCUUCGCCUGAAGGAAACUGGAAAGACGGAGCAAUCUGUCACUUGGGGAUGGGCCUGCGGCGCAUUAGCUAGUUGGUGGGGUAACGGCUCACCAAGGCGACGAUGCGUAGCCGACCUGAGAGGGUGAUCGGCCACACUGGGACUGAGACACGGCCCAGACUCCUACGGGAGGCAGCAGUAGGGAAUCUUCCGCAAUGGGCGAAAGCCUGACGGAGCAAUGCCGCGUGAGUGAUGAAGGUUUUCGGAUCGUAAAGCUCUGUUGCCAGGGAAGAACGCUUGGGAGAGUAACUGCUCUCAAGGUGACGGUACCUGAGAAGAAAGCCCCGGCUAACUACGUGCCAGCAGCCGCGGUAAUACGUAGGGGGCAAGCGUUGUCCGGAAUUAUUGGGCGUAAAGCGCGCGCAGGCGGUCAUUUAAGUCUGGUGUUUAAUCCCGGGGCUCAACCCCGGAUCGCACUGGAAACUGGGUGACUUGAGUGCAGAAGAGGAGAGUGGAAU